Molecule: ribosomal RNA, 503 nt
Filed under: fungal sp. PIMO_1.1
Lineage: Eukaryota; Fungi
Description: eukaryotic LSU rRNA
Rfam family: 5.8S ribosomal RNA (bases 140-293)
Source: RNAcentral
CAUUACCGUGGGGCUUCGGCCCCAUUGAGAUAGCACCCUUUGUUUAUGAGUACCCUUGUUUCCUCGGCGGGCUUGCCCGCCAUGAGGACAUUAAAAACCCUUUGUAGUAGCAGUAACUUCAGUUAAUAAUAAAUAUUAAAACUUUCAACAACGGAUCUCUUGGUUCUGGCAUCGAUGAAGAACGCAGCGAAAUGCGAUAAGUAGUGUGAAUUGCAGAAUUCAGUGAAUCAUCGAAUCUUUGAACGCACAUUGCGCCCUUCGGUAUUCCGUUGGGCAUGCCUGUUCGAGCGUCAUUUAAACCUUCAAGCUAUGCUUGGUGUUGGGUGUUUGUUCCGCCUCAGCGCGUGGACUCGCCUUAAAUUCAUUGGCAGCCGGUAUGUUGGCUUCGUGCGCAGCACAUUGCAAGCGAUUUCAGCAGACCCCCUUCCACAAGCCUUUUUUUACUUUGACCUCGGAUCAGGUAGGGAUACCCGCUGAACUUAAGCAUAUCAAUAAGCGGAGGA